Molecule: unclassified non-coding RNA, 240 nt
Filed under: soil metagenome
Description: partial contains 5.8S ribosomal RNA, internal transcribed spacer 2, and large subunit ribosomal RNA
Source: RNAcentral
AACCAUAGAAACCUGCGGAGUACCUGCGGAAGGAUCAUUACAGAGUUGCAAAACACCCACAAACCAUCGCGAAUCUUACCCGUACGGUUGCCUCGGCGCUGGCGGUCCGGAAGGCCCUCGGGCCCCCGGACCCUCGGGUCCCCCGCUCGCGGGGGGCUGCCCGCCGGAGUGCCGAAACCAAACUCUUGAUAUUUUAUGUCUCUCUGAGUAAACUUUUAAAUAAGUCAAAACUUUUAACAA